GCCCCGGUAAACGGCGGCCGUAACUAUAACGGUCCUAAGGUAGCGAAAUUCCUUGUCGGGUAAGUUCCGACCUGCACGAAUGGCGUAAUGAUGGCCAGGCUGUCUCCACCCGAGACUCAGUGAAAUUGAACUCGCUGUGAAGAUGCAGUGUACCCGCGGCAAGACGGAAAGACCCCGUGAACCUUUACUAUAGCUUGACACUGAACAUUGAGCCUUGAUGUGUAGGAUAGGUGGGAGGCUUUGAAGUGUGGACGCCAGUCUGCAUGGAGCCGACCUUGAAAUACCACCCUUUAAUGUUUGAUGUUCUAACGUUGGCCCGUAAUCCGGGUUGCGGACAGUGUCUGGUGGGUAGUUUGACUGGGGCGGUCUCCUCCUAAAGAGUAACGGAGGAGCACGAAGGUUGGCUAAUCCUGGUCGGACAUCAGGAGGUUAGUGCAAUGGCAUAAGCCAGCUUGACUGCGAGCGUGACGGCGCGAGCAGGUGCGAAAGCAGGUCAUAGUGAUCCGGUGGUUCUGAAUGGAAGGGCCAUCGCUCAACGGAUAAAAGGUACUCCGGGGAUAACAGGCUGAUACCGCCCAAGAGUUCAUAUCGACGGCGGUGUUUGGCACCUCGAUGUCGGCUCAUCACAUCCUGGGGCUGAAGUAGGUCCCAAGGGUAUGGCUGUUCGCCAUUUAAAGUGGUACGCGAGCUGGGUUUAGAACGUCGUGAGACAGUUCGGUCCCUAUCUGCCGUGGGCGCUGGAGAACUGAGGGGGGCUGCUCCUAGUACGAGAGGACCGGAGUGGACGCAUCACUGGUGUUCGGGUUGUCAUGCCAAUGGCACUGCCCGGUAGCUAAAUGCGGAAGAGAUAAGUGCUGAAAGCAUCUAAGCACGAAACUUGCCCCGAGAUGAGUUCUCCCUGACUCCUUGAGGGUCCUGAAGGAACGUUGAAGACGACGACGUUG
Molecule: ribosomal RNA, 944 nt
Filed under: Escherichia coli
Lineage: Bacteria; Pseudomonadati; Pseudomonadota; Gammaproteobacteria; Enterobacterales; Enterobacteriaceae
Description: partial 23S ribosomal RNA
Rfam family: Bacterial large subunit ribosomal RNA
Source: RNAcentral